Fukomys damarensis (Damara mole-rat) is the source of this 1470-nucleotide long non-coding RNA. RefSeq lists it as uncharacterized. The record is from RefSeq and is a predicted model, not a curated record. The transcript has 2 exons. NCBI's taxonomy places the organism in Eukaryota, Metazoa, Chordata, Mammalia, Rodentia, Bathyergidae.
CGCACUGCCCCUAGUCCCAGCCGAGCAGCUCCGGCUGGGCGCGCCCGCACUGCCUCCCAGCUGUGGCCAGAUGCCACCGCCUCUGCCUUCUUUUGCUGAGGUUAAGAAGCAAAGUUACAACCCUCGAUCAGGAUCUGGACUGCAAUCACCAUCAGCUGGCAACACCGCUUCUUUUCCAAAUAGCUACGACGACAAAGCCCUGUGGGAAACGCUUAUCACAGCUGACCAUACAACGCUGUCACCAGUGCCACUGCCACAGGAAGACACUUCCCACAACGAAUUUUCCUGCGUCACGCCUACUCCGGUAAUCCUCGAUGGCCUGGGCUGGGGAGGUAGCUGGCCUGUUGGACUCCAAAUUCUUCAAUCUGACAUCCGCUUGAAGCCCUGAAUAAACUGCCCUCACCUAUGCAUCUUUUCUGACUUGCACUCUACGAAUCACUCCUCCUUCCCCCACAUGACUGCAGCUGGAGCUGUCAUGAGAACAGAAGGGCAUGAAGGACAACUAACUGGCCCCUGGCUGCAGUGAACGAGCGACUCAAGCUGAACCAAUCAAAGUCCUUUUGCAGGAACAUGGAAUUGAGGGACACACUGGUCAUCGUCUGAGUGACUGGACUACAGAUGAGGAGUAAACUCGGCAACUGUGGUUAGUAAUAUUUUCAGCAAUAGAAGGGGGUGCUGAUCUUCAGAGAAACAGACAUAAAGACAGGUGCAAAAGCAAAACAGAAAGGAGCCCUGAUUGCACUAUUUCCUUAUUCUAGUUUUUUUUUUUUCAUUACUGCCCUUGGACAUUGCAUUAAGUAACUAACUUACGUGCACCAAAGAUAUCCACAAUCUAAGCCCAGAACCUGUAAAUGGUACCUGUAAUAGAUGGAAUUGUAGGUAUGAUUAAGGACCAUGAGAUGGGGAGAUUAUUCUAGAUCAUCCUAUGGGCCCAGUAUAAUCACACAGAUCCUUAAAAUCAGAGAAAUUUUUUCAGCUGUGCCUGAGGAAGAUAUGACUAUGGAAAAAUAGUCAGGAACAUGCAACUUCACUGGCUUUGGAGAUGGAGAAAAGGAGUCAAAAACCAAAGAACGCAGGCAUCCUGAAGAAACUGGAAAAGGUCAGGAAACACAUUCUCCUAGAGCCUCCAAGGGGAACGCAGCCCCACAGACACUUCAAUUUUCCCUCAAUUUUCCCUGUGCCUAACUUCUAAACCAGAAUACUAUAGGAUAGUACAUUUGUUUUGUUUUAAAACACUAAGUUAAUAGUAACUUGAUACAGCAGCAACAGAAAACUAAUACAAGCUCUUUGAGUAGUGGAUCCAUUUCUGUGAUUUUUUAAUACCUAGCACAGUGCUCAGUGCCUUAGGUGAGUCACAGAUCUAAAUAAAGUCAUGUGCUCCAGGUUGCAAUGAACUGAUUUGUGCCUCCCCAAAAUUCACAUGUUGAAGUGUCAAACUCCAAUGUGGCUGUAUUGGAGCUGUAAGUAAAG